This 437-nucleotide ribosomal RNA is filed under the name uncultured bacterium. RNAcentral's name for it is "bacterial SSU rRNA". It matches the Rfam family "Bacterial small subunit ribosomal RNA", at positions 66 to 507 of the family's 1533-position model. The record is from RNAcentral.
AUUUGAACAGAGGGCUUACGGCGACGGGAAGAUGAGGAAAGUGGCGAACGGGUGAGUAACGCGUGAGGAACCUGCCUUCCAGUGGGGGACAACAGUUGGAAACGACUGCUAAUACCGCAUAACAUAUUUGAGGGGCAUCCCUUGAAUAUCAAAGCUUUAUGUGCUGGAAGAUGGCCUCGCGUCUGAUUAGCUAGUUGUGGGGUAACGGCUCACCAAGGCGACGACCAGUAGCCGGUCUGAGAGGAUGAACGGCCACAUUGGGACUGAGAUACGGCCCAGACUCCUACGGGAGGCAGCAGUGGGGAAUAUUGGGCAAUGGGGGAAACCCUGACCCAGCAACGCCGCGUGAAGGAAGAAGGCUUUCGGGUUGUAAACUUCUUUUAGCAGGGACGAAGGACGUGACGGUACCUGCAGAAAAAGCAACGGCUAACUACGUG